Molecule: long non-coding RNA, 416 nt
Filed under: Nicotiana benthamiana
Lineage: Eukaryota; Viridiplantae; Streptophyta; Magnoliopsida; Solanales; Solanaceae
Description: long non-coding RNA (NBEN_LNC034394)
Source: RNAcentral
AACCGAGAGGUUGUGAGUUCGAGUCUCUCCAAGAGCAAGGUGAGAAGUUCUUGGAUGGUAAGCAACCCUCUUCCAACCAAGAGGUAGUGAGUUCGAGUCUCUCCAAGAGCAAGGUGGGAAGUUCUUGGAGGGAAGGAUGCCGGGGGUCUAUUUGGAAACAGCCUCUCUACCCAAGGGUAGGGGUAAGUUCUGCGUACAUACUACCCUCCCCAUACCCUACUAUGUGGGAUUAUAUUGGGCUGUUGUAAGGUUAAGAUAAGAAUUAGAUGCUGACCUGCACUGAUUGGAAGGUCAUGGGGCCCUGUGUGCUUUUUGGCUUCUUUUAUGCUCAUUCCCUUUUCUUUUUUUUCCUUUUCCAUUUACUGUCCUGUACCGUUUUGGAGCACGAUUAAUUUGGAUUUUUGCCAAAAUUUCAC